Molecule: ribosomal RNA, 497 nt
Filed under: uncultured bacterium
Lineage: Bacteria
Description: partial 16S ribosomal RNA
Rfam family: Bacterial small subunit ribosomal RNA
Source: RNAcentral
GAUGAACGCUGGCGGCGUGCCUAAUACAUGCAAGUCGAGCGAACAGACGAGGAGCUUGCUCCUCUGACGUUAGCGGCGGACGGGUGAGUAACACGUGGAUAACCUACCUAUAAGACUGGGAUAACUUCGGGAAACCGGAGCUAAUACCGGAUAACAUGUUGAACCGCAUGGUUCAAUAGUGAAAGACGGUGUUGCUGUCACUUAUAGAUGGAUCCGCGCCGCAUUAGCUAGUUGGUAAGGUAACGGCUUACCAAGGCAACGAUGCGUAGCCGACCUGCGAGGGUGAUCGGCCACACUGGAACUGAGACACGGUCCAGACUCCUACGGGAGGCAGCAGUAGGGAAUCUUCCGCAAUGGGCGAAAGCCUGACGGAGCAACGCCGCGUGAGUGAUGAAGGUCUUCGGAUCGUAAAACUCUGUUAUUAGGGAAGAACAAAUGUGUAAGUAACUAUGCACGUCUUGACGGUACCUAAUCAGAAAGCCACGGCUAACUACGUG